GAGGACGACGCUGGCGGCGUGGAUUAGGCAUGCAAGUCGAACGGUAUCAUCCUUCGGGGGUGAGAGAGUGGCGAACUGGUGAGUAACACGUAGGUUAUCUACCCUCAAGACGGGGGACAACCCAGGGAAACUUGGGCUAAUACCGGAUGUGAGCAACUUUUAGUUGUUUGAAAGGUGGCGUAAGCUGUCGCUUGGGGAUGAGCCUGCGUCCUAUUAGUUAGUUGGUGAGGUAACGGCUCACCUAGGCAAUGAUAGGUAGGCGGCCUUAACGGGUGGUCGCCCACACUGGGAUUGAGAUACGGCCCAGACUCCUACGGGAGGCAGCAGUCGAGAAUAGUCUACAAUGGUCGGAAGACUGAUAGUGCGACGCCGCGUGAACGAUGAAUCCCUUCGGGGUGUAAAGUUCUUUUAUAUGUGAGCAGUGCUUCUUAUAUUAACAGUAUGGGGAGAGAGAUAUUAGCAUAUGAAUAAGCAACGGCUAACUCCGUG
RNAcentral lists this ribosomal RNA (489 nucleotides) under uncultured bacterium. Its description in RNAcentral is "bacterial SSU rRNA". It matches the Rfam family "Bacterial small subunit ribosomal RNA", at positions 33 to 507 of the family's 1533-position model. The record is from RNAcentral.